This is a long non-coding RNA of Gavialis gangeticus (Gharial), 249 nucleotides long. RefSeq lists it as uncharacterized. NCBI's taxonomy places the organism in Eukaryota, Metazoa, Chordata, Crocodylia, Gavialidae. The transcript has 2 exons. The record is from RefSeq and is a predicted model, not a curated record.
CUAUCCAAGAGAAUAAACCCAAAAGGGCGGUCACUGAGCACAAAAACAGAGGAGAGCACAGCUUCUCUGCAGGUGGCAGGAACUGAAAAAGAGGAGAGGGUGGCAGAGGUUAUGAAAGAAGUAUUCAAGUUGGAACCGUGCUGAAAAGUUCCGUCUUAGAGGCCUGCAAGACAUGAACUACUGAAGAAACAGUCCAAAGGUCCCAAUGAAAAAGCUGUGACAAGCUGUAAUGUGCCAUUUCAAUUACAA